AGAAUCAACGCUGGCGGCGUGCCUAACACAUGCAAGUCGCACGAGAAAGGGACUUCGGUCCUGAGUAAAGUGGCGCACGGGUGAGUAACACGUGAAUCAUCUACCCUCGAGUGGGGAAUAACCUAGAGAAAUCUGGGCUAAUACCGCAUAACACUUACGAGUCAAAGCAGCAAUGCGCUUGGGGAGGAGUUCGCGGCCGAUUAGCUAGUGGCGGGUAAUGGCCCACAAGGCGAUGAUCGGUA
Molecule: ribosomal RNA, 242 nt
Filed under: uncultured bacterium
Lineage: Bacteria
Description: partial small subunit ribosomal RNA
Rfam family: Bacterial small subunit ribosomal RNA
Source: RNAcentral